RNAcentral lists this ribosomal RNA (481 nucleotides) under uncultured bacterium. RNAcentral describes it as "partial 16S ribosomal RNA". It matches the Rfam family "Bacterial small subunit ribosomal RNA", at positions 28 to 507 of the family's 1533-position model. The record is from RNAcentral.
GAUGAACGCUGGCGGCGUGCUUAACACAUGCAAGUCGAACGAAGCACUUUAUUUGAUUUCCUUCGGGACUGAUUAUUUUGUGACUGAGUGGCGGACGGGUGAGUAACGCGUGGGUAACCUGCCUUGUACAGGGGGAUAACAGUUGGAAACGGCUGCUAAUACCGCAUAAGCGCCCAGCAUCGCAUGAUGCAGUGUGAAAACCUCCGGUGGUAUAAGAUGGACCCGCGUUGGAUUAGCUAGGUGGUGAGGUAACGGCCCACCAAUGCGACGAGCCAUAGCCGAGCGGGGAGGGGCACCGGCCACAAUGGGACUGGGACACGGCCCAAACUCCUACGGGAGGCAGGAGUGGGGAAUAUUGCACAAUGGGCGAAAGCCUGAUGCAGCGACGCCGCGUGAGCGAAGAAGUAUUUCGGGAUGUAAAGCUCUAUCAGCAGGGAAGAUAAUGACGGUACCUGACGAAGAAGCACCGGCUAAAUACGUG